Molecule: long non-coding RNA, 206 nt
Filed under: Struthio camelus australis
Lineage: Eukaryota; Metazoa; Chordata; Aves; Struthioniformes; Struthionidae
Description: lncRNA (ENSSCUG00000006555.1)
Source: RNAcentral
AAGCUUUAUAUCUCCUGAUCUUACUACAAUGACAGGACAACAAGCAGCACUGAAGAUGUCAUCCAGGUGCUGUUUACAGGCACUGCUGUGCCAUGAACUUGGAGAAUGUGAAUCAUGGGUGUCUCAGAAGGCAAAAUAUUCCAUAGUAACCCUUCUAAAAGUGUGUGUGUUAACAUGUAACAACUAUUGAAAUCUAUAGAAUUUCU